Molecule: non-coding RNA, 31 nt
Filed under: Mus musculus (house mouse)
Lineage: Eukaryota; Metazoa; Chordata; Mammalia; Rodentia; Muridae
Source: RNAcentral
UUCAUUUUCAAGUUUUUCAAAGAGGUCAUCC